Long non-coding RNA from Sphaerodactylus townsendi, 606 nucleotides. RefSeq lists it as uncharacterized. The record is from RefSeq and is a predicted model, not a curated record. The transcript is spliced from 3 exons. Lineage: Eukaryota; Metazoa; Chordata; Lepidosauria; Squamata; Sphaerodactylidae.
CAGGAUGCCAACGGGACACAAGUGGGUUCAUCUGAAAAGGGUGACAGGGUUGCUUACAUCAAAAUGGAUAGGACUGCAGGACUGUUACCAUUUAGGAGAGUUGAUAAAGACAGAAGUUACAGUUACAGCACUAAAGGCAGAAAGGCUAGAGAGGAUGGUGCAUUUAAAAUCCUAAAGCUGCAGAUUCCAUGAAAAAUAUUGGGAAAUGCAAAGUAUGGAAUGGGAUGGUGUUUCAGAACAGCCUGUGGUGUUGGUGUGGACUGUGUACUACACACACACGUACACACAUAAAUAUGAAUUAAAAAUGUAUACAUAUUAUGUGUAGUGUUGCAAAGAUUAACAACUUUACUCAGUUCCGGUGUGCUUUGCUUUUGUGGUAUUUAGAAUCCGUUAUGGAUCAAGCUGAGGAGUUAACGGCUUCACUCUUGCUUGGAAGAGGAACAAGGCCAGAACUUUCUUACAUCAUCCUUCAGCUUAACACUGAUCAGAAACACUCUUCUUGCUUAAGACCAAAUUCCUCAGCUUUGAAUAUAUUUUUGUCAGGAAGGGAGGAGGAAGGAACCUUUGCACUCACCAAAAAGCAAGGUUUUAGAGGUGAAAAAUGUU